RNAcentral lists this transfer RNA (73 nucleotides) under Bos taurus (domestic cattle). It matches the Rfam family "tRNA". Rfam says of the family: Transfer RNA (tRNA) molecules are approximately 80 nucleotides in length. Their secondary structure includes four short double-helical elements and three loops (D, anti-codon, and T loops). The record is from Rfam by way of RNAcentral. Lineage: Eukaryota; Metazoa; Chordata; Mammalia; Artiodactyla; Bovidae. RNAcentral also lists the same sequence under 5 other names.
UCCCUGGAGGUCCAGUGGUUAAGACUCUGUGCUUCCACUGCAAGAGGCACAGGUUCAAUUCCUGCUUAGGGAA